GAGGAAUAUUGGUCAAUGGGCGAGAGCCUGAACCAGCCAAGUCGCGUGAAGGAAGAAGGUUCUAUGGAUUGUAAACUUCUUUUGCAUGGGAAUAAAGUGAGCUACGAGUAGUUUAUUGUAUGUACUGUGCGAAUAAGGAUCGGCUAACUCCGUGCCAGCAGCCGCGGUAAUACGGAGGAUCCGAGCGUUAUCCGGAUUUAUUGGGUUUAAAGGGUGCGUAGGCGGGAGAUUAAGUCAGCGGUGAAAGUUUGCAGCUUAACUGUAAAAUUGCCGUUGAAACUGAUUUUCUUGAGUGUAAAUAAGGUAGGCGGAAUGUGUUGUGUAGCGGUGAAAUGCAUAGAUAUAACACAGAACCCCGAUUGCGAAGGCAGCUUACCGGGCUACAACUGACGCUGAGGCACGAAAGCGUGGGGAUCAAAC
This 420-nucleotide ribosomal RNA is filed under the name uncultured bacterium. RNAcentral describes it as "bacterial SSU rRNA". It matches the Rfam family "Bacterial small subunit ribosomal RNA", at positions 356 to 773 of the family's 1533-position model. The record is from RNAcentral.